AGAGUUUGAUCCUGGCUCAGGACGAACGCUGGCGGCGUGCCUAACACAUGCAAGUCGAGCGGAGAUAAGCGGAUGGUAACUGAAGUUUGUCUUAGCGGCGGACGGGUGAGUAACACGUGGGCAACCUGCCUUGGAGUGGGGGAUAACACCGGGAAAUCGGUGCUAAUACCGCAUAACAUACACAAACUGCAUGGUAAGUGUAUCAAAGGAGCAAUCCGCUUUAAGAUGGGCCCGCGGCUGAUUAGCUAGUUGGUAAGGUAACGGCUUACCAAGGCGACGAUCAGUAGCCGACCUGAGAGGGUGACCGGCCACACUGGAACUGAGACACGGUCCAGACUCCUACGGGAGGCAGCAGUGGGGAAUAUUGCGCAAUGGGGGGAACCCUGACGCAGCAACGCCGCGUGGAGGAAGAAGGUCUUCGGAUUGUAAACUCCUGUCUUCUGGGACGAAGUAUGACGGUACCAGAGGAGGAAGCCACGGCUAACUACGUGCCAGCAGCCGCGGUAAUACGUAGGUGGCGAGCGUUGUCCGGAAUUACUGGGCGUAAAGGGCGCGUAGGCGGCUUUUUAAGUUAGAUGUGAAAACCCGGGGCUUAACUUCGGGCGUGCAUUUAAAACUGGAGAGCUUGAGUGCAGGAGAGGUAAGUGGAAUUCCUAGUGUAGCGGUGAAAUGCGUAGAUAUUAGGAGGAACACCAGUGGCGAAGGCGACUUACUGGACUGUAACUGACGCUGAGGCGCGAAAGCGUGGGGAGCAAACAGGAUUAGAUACCCUGGUAGUCCACGCUGUAAACGAUGGAUACUAGGUGUGGGAGGUAUCGACCCCUUCCGUGCCGCAGUUAACGCAAUAAGUAUCCCGCCUGGGGAGUACGGCCGCAAGGUUGAAACUCAAAUGAAUUGACGGA
RNAcentral lists this ribosomal RNA (902 nucleotides) under uncultured bacterium. RNAcentral describes it as "bacterial SSU rRNA". It matches the Rfam family "Bacterial small subunit ribosomal RNA", at positions 8 to 917 of the family's 1533-position model. The record is from RNAcentral.